UUGAACGCUGGCGGCAUGCUUUACACAUGCAAGUCGGACGGCAGCGCGGGCUUCGGCCUGGCGGCGAGUGGCGAACGGGUGAGUAAUACAUCGGAACGUGCCCAGUAGUGGGGGAUAGCUCGGCGAAAGCCGGAUUAAUACCGCAUACGACCUGAGGGUGAAAGCGGGGGACUUUAGGGCCUCGCGCUAUUGGAGCGGCCGAUGGCAGAUUAGCUAGUUGGUGGGGUAAAGGCCUACCAAGGCGACGAUCUGUAGCUGGUCUGAGAGGACGACCAGCCACACUGGGACUGAGACACGGCCCAGACUCCUACGGGAGGCAGCAGUGGGGAAUUUUGGACAAUGGGCGCAAGCCUGAUCCAGCAAUGCCGCGUGUGUGAUGAAGGCCUUCGGGUUGUAAAGCACUUUUGGCAGGAACGAAAAGUGCCGUGCUAAUACCACGGUACGAUGACGGUACCUGCAGAAUAAGCACCGGCUAACUACGUG
RNAcentral lists this ribosomal RNA (483 nucleotides) under uncultured bacterium. Its description in RNAcentral is "partial 16S ribosomal RNA". It matches the Rfam family "Bacterial small subunit ribosomal RNA", at positions 29 to 507 of the family's 1533-position model. The record is from RNAcentral.